Molecule: long non-coding RNA, 2945 nt
Filed under: Homo sapiens (human)
Lineage: Eukaryota; Metazoa; Chordata; Mammalia; Primates; Hominidae
Description: HSALNT0349150
Source: RNAcentral
AUUUGGCCUUUGGCAAUUCAGUAAACAUUUUAGCAAUUUCUUCUUUCCUGCCUGCUGAAGACUGACUUCCUCCUGCUGCCAAAGUUCUAGAGUCUGGACGUCUGAGAUCAGGGUGCCAGCACUGUCGAGGUCACAGACUGCAGACCUCCUUGUAUCUUCAAAUGGAGGAAAGAGGACAAGAGAGCUCCUGUGGUCCCUUUUAUCAAGAUGAAUGCACAAGGAAAAUGUUGUACAUUUGCACAUUGGAGUACACUUCAGCCAUAAAAAGAAUGAGAUGCUGUCAUUUGCAACAACAGGCCUGAUAAUAUUGAACAUCCUUGCAUCCAUUAAAGUUUACUGUUCUAAGACUUACUUUAACCAAGGUCAACAGCAAUCUGAGACACACUCUUCUCAUGGCAGAUUAUGGGACCAUAAAGCAGAAAAACAAGGAUAUCUUCAACAGAUGCAACUAUCACCAGUUAAAUAUGACGUUGGAGGACUGUUGGAAACAGAACUUCAUGAUUAAUUUGACAUGAUUUUGUGUAAUUUAGGUUUCAUGCUUUUUAUUUCAAGAUUAUACAUUUGAAUCAAUUUUGCUUGACUAUAUUGUCCAGUAGCUAACUACUCAAAUGGGAAUGCUUGUGUACUUUUAAAUUAAGAGUGUUUAGUGAGAGCAAUUUUGAAGACAAAGGUAAACAAAAUAGAGUAUUAGCUUAUCUCUACAGUUCAGUGGUACAAGUAUAAAGAUUUUUUUGCAAUGUAAUUUCUAUCAAAGCUUAUGUCUUAUUAAAUUGCUGCACUUUGAGCUUAUUUUUUGCAGUAUUAAAAUUUUAUGAAUAAAACCUAAAAAUUACCCUUGAUUUAUCUUACUUUAAUUUCUACAACAUGAUUCUAACUCCAAAACAUAUCAUUAAUUAUUAAUAAGUUUUUCAUCUCCAAUUCCCUGAUCCUAACUUAAAUUAACAUCAUAUGUCACAAGAAAUAUUAUAUUUUCCUAAUGAUAUUGUUUACUUCAUUUUUGCUCAUACUGCCAACACCCCAUGCCCUUCUCAGCAUAGCAACAGCAAGGUUGACUUAAUUUUAUUUUGUUGAUUGGUGGUUUUUUUUUGCAGGGUUAGGCAGAAUAUGACCUUUAUUUGAGCUUACCCACCACAGUGGAAAUACAGUCUGUACACCAUAUGUUUGUUACUGUAACUUCUGUAUCACAAUUAAAAUCAAAACAGUUUUUAAAAAGUAAACCCAAUCAAAACCCACUACUUAGGAAUCAAUAAGGUCUUUGAAGCCACAGCAACAAUUAAAUAUGGUUAAGACCCAUACGUAGAAAGAUGGUUGGUUGGAAAAUGAAUUAAACUUCCAACUUGCUCACAUAAAAUUACAACAAGGCAAAACUGUUUUUCAUAGAGAUACAGUCCACUGGAAUCACCAACACCAGACAACUUUUGUUUUCUAGUCCUGGGAUAAUAAUGAAUCCAGACAUCUUUUAGACAGUUUUCUGUUUUCUUUCUAAUCAGAGAUUUAUGGAUGUAUGCAAUGACACUACCAUUAGUAAUUGUAAUCUUGAUAAGAUAGUCCAAUUCUUCAUCACCAUGAACAGCAAGUUGCAAGUGACAAAGAGUAAUAUGCUUUACCUUUAAGCCUUUGGAUGCCCUUCCUACCAGUUCUAGUACCUUUGUGGUGUGUACUCCAGGAUGGCUGCAUGGUACUCAGUGGCAGUUGUGCCCACAUGUCCAUGGCUGUGUUCCUGGAUUCAGGCGUUGAUGAAGACAGACCAGCAAGAACUGCAAGCACACUCUCUGUUAGUAGGAAACCACCGUUGUCUUGGCCUUUUCUAAGUCCUUUAUCAUGCACAACACGAUGUUUUAAGGUAUAGGUACCUUGUGGAAUGACUAAAUUGAUUUAAUUAAUAUGUGCAUUUCCUGACAUAGUUAUCAGUUUUGUGGUGAAAGCACUUUACAUCCACUGUCUUGGCAUUUUUCAAGAACACAAUAGAUUAACUGUAAUCACCAUGGUGUACAAUAUAUUUCUAGAACUUACUCCUCCUAUCUAACAGAUUUUUCAAAUCUUUUGACCAACAUCCUCUUCCCACCCAAAAUACUCCAGUUUCUGGCAACCACUAUUUUGCUCUUUAGUUCUAUACAAUUUUUUUUUUUAGAUUCCACAUGUGAGUGAGAUUAUGUAGUAUUUGUUUCUUUGUGCUUAGCCUAUUUCACAAUAUUUAUAUCCUUUUAGUUAAUCUUUAUUGUUGCAAAUGACAGAAUUGUAUUCUUUUUAUAGCUGAAUAGUAUUUUAUUGUGUAUAUAUAUAUAUAUAUCACAUUUCCUUUAUGCAUUCAUCCAUGGACACUCCAGUUGAGUCCAUGUCUUGGCAAUUGUGAAUAAUGCUGCAAUAAACAUGAGAGUGCAGGUGUCUCUUUGGCAUACUGAUAUUAUUUCCUUUGGAUAUAUACUCAGUUGUGGAAUUGUUGAAACAUAUGGUAGUCCUAUUUCUAUUUUUUCUAGGAAUCUCCAUAUUGUGUUCUAUAAUAGCUGUACUAAUUUACAUUCCCACCAACAUUUUGUGAAAGUUCCCUUUUCUCUACAUCCUCACCAAUACUUGAUGUAUUUUAUCUUUUUUACAAUAGUCAUUUUUAUUGGGGUGAAGUAGUUAUCUCACAAUGCUUUUUAUUUGCAUUUUUCUGAUGAUUAGGGAUGUUAGACAUUUUUUAUAUACCUGCUGGCUACUGGUAUGUCUUCUUUUAAGAAAUGUCUAUUCAGGAUUUUGCCCAUUUUCUAAUUGGGUUGCUUUCCUGUUAUUAAUUUGAGUUUUUAAAUAUGUAUCAUAUAUUAACCCCUUAGAUGUAAAGUUUGCAUAUAUUAUUCCACUCUGUAAGUGUCUCUUUACUCUGUAGAGUAUUUCCUUUGUUGUGCAGAAACUUUUCAGUUUGAUGUAACCCAUUUGCCUAUUUUCUCUUUUGUUGCCUGUGCUUU